ACACUCCUGCGGGAGGCAGCAGUGGGGAAUUUUGGACAAUGGGCGAAAGCCUGAUCCAGCCAUGCCGCGUGCAGGAUGAAGGCCUUCGGGUUGUAAACUGCUUUUGUACGGAACGAAACGGCCUUUUCUAAUAAAGAGGGCUAAUGACGGUACCGUAAGAAUAAGCACCGGCUAACUACGUGCCAGCAGCCGCGGUAAUACGUAGGGUGCAAGCGUUAAUCGGAAUUACUGGGCGUAAAGCGUGCGCAGGCGGUUAUGUAAGACAGUUGUGAAAUCCCCGGGCUCAACCUGGGAACUGCAUCUGUGACUGCAUAGCUAGAGUACGGUAGAGGGGGAUGGAAUUCCGCGUGUAGCAGUGAAAUGCGUAGAUAUGCGGAGGAACACCGAUGGCGAAGGCAAUCCCCUGGACCUGUACUGACGCUCAUGCACGAAAGCGUGGGGAGCAAACAGGAUUAGAAACCCCUGUAGUCCCAUG
Molecule: ribosomal RNA, 475 nt
Filed under: uncultured organism
Description: partial 16S ribosomal RNA
Rfam family: Bacterial small subunit ribosomal RNA
Source: RNAcentral